GACGAACGCUGGCGGCGUGCCUAAUACAUGCAAGUAGAACGCACAGUUUAUACCGUAGCUUGCUACACCAUAAACUGUGAGUUGCGAACGGGUGAGUAACGCGUAGGUAACCUGCCUGGUAGCGGGGGAUAACUAUUGGAAACGAUAGCUAAUACCGCAUAAUAUUGAUUAUUGCAUGAUAAUUGAUUGAAAGAUGCUAUUGCAUCACUACCAGAUGGACCUGCGUUGUAUUAGCUAAUAGGGGAGGUAACGGCUCACCUAGGCGACGAUACAUAGCCGACCUGAGAGGGGGAUCGGCCACACUGGGACUGAGACACGGCCCAGACUCCUACAGGGGGCAGCAGUAGGGAAUCUUCGGCAAUGGACGAAAGUCUGACCGGGCAACGCCGCGGGAGUGAAGAAGGUUUUCGGAUCGUAAAGCUCUGUUGUAAGAGAAGAACGGGUGUGAUAGUGGAAAGUUCACACUGUGACGGUAUCUUACCAGAAAGGGACGGCUAACUACGUG
RNAcentral lists this ribosomal RNA (505 nucleotides) under uncultured bacterium. RNAcentral describes it as "partial 16S ribosomal RNA". It matches the Rfam family "Bacterial small subunit ribosomal RNA", at positions 28 to 507 of the family's 1533-position model. The record is from RNAcentral.